AAACCGCUGCUGCUUUUGCUCUAUGUGUCCAAAUUUCAGCGUUU
Molecule: small RNA, 44 nt
Filed under: Arabidopsis thaliana (thale cress)
Lineage: Eukaryota; Viridiplantae; Streptophyta; Magnoliopsida; Brassicales; Brassicaceae
Description: ATSL080740
Source: RNAcentral